GUCCACGCCCUAAACUAUGUCAACUGGUUGUCGGGGAUUAACUCCCUUGGUAACGAAGCUAACGCGUGAAGUUGACCGCCUGGGGAGUACGGCCGCAAGGUUAAAACUCAAAGGAAUUGACGGGGACCCGCACAAGCGGUGGAUUAUGUGGAUUAAUUCGAUGCAACGCGAAAAACCUUACCUACCCUUGACAUGUACGGAAUCCUCCAGAGAUGGAGGGGUGCCCGAAAGGGAACCGUAACACAGGUGCUGCAUGGCUGUCGU
Molecule: ribosomal RNA, 264 nt
Filed under: uncultured bacterium
Lineage: Bacteria
Description: partial 16S ribosomal RNA
Rfam family: Bacterial small subunit ribosomal RNA
Source: RNAcentral